This 307-nucleotide ribosomal RNA is filed under the name uncultured bacterium. RNAcentral's name for it is "bacterial SSU rRNA". It matches the Rfam family "Bacterial small subunit ribosomal RNA", at positions 28 to 311 of the family's 1533-position model. The record is from RNAcentral.
GACGAACGCUGGCGGCGUGCCUAACACAUGCAAGUCGAACGGAGUUACUUCGACAGAUCCCUUCGGGGUGAAGAUGAUUUAACUUAGUGGCGGACGGGCGAGUAACGCGUGAAUAACCUGCCCAUAAGAGGGGGAUAACACAGAGAAAUUUGUGCUAAUACCGCAUAUUGAAUUUUAACCGCAUGGGUUUUAAAUUUGAAAGAUUUUAUCGCUUAUGGAUGGAUUCGCGUAAAGAUUAGCCUAGUUGGUGAGGUAACGGCUCACCAAGGCGACGAUCUUUAGCCGAACUGAGAGGUUGAUCGGCCGC